GCUAGUAAUCGUAGGUCAGCAUACUACGGUGAAUACGUUCCCGGGCCUUGUACACACCGCCCGUCAAACCAUGAGAGUUGGCAACACCCGAAGUCGGUAGUCUAACCGCAAGGAGGACGCCGCCGAAGGUGGGGUUNAUGAUUAGGGUUAAGUCGUAACAAGGUAGC
Molecule: ribosomal RNA, 167 nt
Filed under: uncultured bacterium
Lineage: Bacteria
Description: partial 16S ribosomal RNA
Rfam family: Bacterial small subunit ribosomal RNA
Source: RNAcentral